UACGGAGGGUGCGUGCGUUGUCCGGAAUCACUGGGCGUCAAGGGCGCGUAGGCGGCCUGAUAAGUAGGGGGUGAAAUCCUGCGGCUUAACCGCAGGGCUGCCUUCUAAACUGUCAGGCUUGAGCACAGUAGAGGCAGGUGGAAUUCCCGGUGUAGCGGUGGAAUGCGUAGAGAUCGGGAAGAACAUCAGUGGCGAAGGCGGCCUGCUGGGCUGUUGCUGACGCUGAGGCGCGACAGCGUGGGGAGCAAACAGG
Molecule: ribosomal RNA, 253 nt
Filed under: uncultured bacterium
Lineage: Bacteria
Description: partial 16S ribosomal RNA
Rfam family: Bacterial small subunit ribosomal RNA
Source: RNAcentral